This 73-nucleotide small nuclear RNA is filed under the name Microtus ochrogaster (prairie vole). The record is from RNAcentral. Lineage: Eukaryota; Metazoa; Chordata; Mammalia; Rodentia; Cricetidae.
GUGCUCCCUUUGGCAGCGCAUAGACUAAAAUUGGAACAAUACAGAGAUGAUUAGCAUGGCUCCAAUGCAAGAA